ACGAACGCUGGCGGCGUGCUUAACACAUGCAAGUCGAACGGAAAGGCCCCUUUGGGGGUACUCGAGUGGCGAACGGGUGAGUAACACGUGAGUAACCUGCCCUUGACUUCGGGAUAACUUCAGGAAACUGGGGCUAAUACCGGAUAGGAAUCCUUGCUGCAUGGUGGGGGUUGGAAAGCUUCGGCGGUUUUGGAUGGACUCGCGGCUUAUCAGCUUGUUGGUGGGGUAGUGGCUUACCAAGGCUUUGACGGGUAGCCGGCCUGAGAGGGCGACCGGCCACAUUGGGACUGAGAUACGGCCCAGACUCCUACGGGAGGCAGCAGUGGGGAAUAUUGCACAAUGGGCGGAAGCCUGAUGCAGCAACGCCGCGUGCGGGAUGACGGCCUUCGGGUUGUAAACCGCUUUCAGCAGGGGCGAAGCUUGUGGUGACAGUACCUGCAGAAGAAGCACCGGCUAACUACGUG
This 464-nucleotide ribosomal RNA is filed under the name uncultured bacterium. RNAcentral's name for it is "partial 16S ribosomal RNA". It matches the Rfam family "Bacterial small subunit ribosomal RNA", at positions 29 to 507 of the family's 1533-position model. The record is from RNAcentral.